This 450-nucleotide ribosomal RNA is filed under the name uncultured bacterium. Its description in RNAcentral is "bacterial SSU rRNA". It matches the Rfam family "Bacterial small subunit ribosomal RNA", at positions 328 to 793 of the family's 1533-position model. The record is from RNAcentral.
GUGCCAGACUCCUACGGGAGGCAGCAGUGGGGAAUAUUGGGCAAUGGGCGCAAGCCUGACCCAGCAACGCCGCGUGAAGGAAGAAGGCUUUCGGGUUGUAAACUUCUUUUCUCAGGGACGAAGCAAGUGACGGUACCUGAGGAAUAAGCCACGGCUAACUCCGUGCCAGCAGCCGCGGUAAUACGGAGGAUGCGAGCGUUAUCCGGAUUUAUUGGGUUUAAAGGGUGCGCAGGCGGAGGUGCAAGUCAGCGGUCAAAUUGCGGGGCUCAACCCCGUACUGCCGUUGAAACUGCAUCCCUUGAGUGCGCGAGAAGUAUGCGGAAUGCGUGGUGUAGCGGUGAAAUGCAUAGAUAUCACGCAGAACUCCGAUUGCGAAGGCAGCAUACCGGCGCGCAACUGACGCUCAUGCACGAAAGCGUGGGUAUCGAACAGGAUUAGAUACCCGUGUAC